GACGAACGUUGGCGGCGUGCUUAAUACAUGCAAGUCAACUGAAGCAGUGGUAGCAAUAUCGCUGUGGAGGUGGCGCACGGGUGAGUAACACGUAGGUAAUCUGCCUUCAGGUCUGGCAUAACUCCGGGAAACCGGGGCUAAUAGCAGAUGAUGCAGCGGCUCGACAUCGAGACAGUUGUUAAAUCUAUGGCGCCUGAAGAUGAGCCUGCGUCUGAUUAGUUAGUUGGCGGGUUAACGGCCCACCAAGGCAACGAUCAGUAGCUGGUCUGAGAGGAUGAUCAGCCACACUGGAACUGAGACACGGUCCAGACUCCUACGGGAGGCAGCAGUAAGGAAUAUUGCUCAAUGGGAGAAAUCCUGAAGCAGCAACGCCGCGUGAGGGACGAAGGGCUUUUGCUUGUAAACCUCUGUAGUGAGAGAAAAAAAUCCCAAUCUUUGGGACAUGAUGGUAUCUCAAAAGUAAGCCCCGGCUAACUACGUG
This 481-nucleotide ribosomal RNA is filed under the name uncultured bacterium. RNAcentral describes it as "partial 16S ribosomal RNA". It matches the Rfam family "Bacterial small subunit ribosomal RNA", at positions 28 to 507 of the family's 1533-position model. The record is from RNAcentral.